Molecule: unclassified non-coding RNA, 102 nt
Organism: Mandrillus leucophaeus (drill)
Lineage: Eukaryota; Metazoa; Chordata; Mammalia; Primates; Cercopithecidae
Rfam family: Y RNA
About the family: Y RNAs are components of the Ro ribonucleoprotein particle (Ro RNP), in association with Ro60 and La proteins. The Y RNAs and Ro60 and La proteins are well conserved, but the function of the Ro RNP is not known.
Source: Ensembl
GGCUGUUCCAAUUACAGUGGUGUUUAUAACUAAUUGAUCACAACCAGUUAGAGAUUUCUCUGUUCCUUCUCCACUCCCACUGCUUCACUUGGCUCUUCUUAA